AUGGCCAAGGUGGUGUUGCUGCUCUUGCUCGUGAUACAGAUCUCCAGCGUGCUCGCCGCCGCGGCUAGGCCGUUCGUGGGGGACGACGGCCAGUGGUUGCAGAACGGGAUCGGGAUGGUGACACAGAUGCUCGGCGGCGUCAAGCAGUCAGGGUCCAGCGGCCGCACGCACUGCUGCUGA
RNAcentral lists this ribosomal RNA (180 nucleotides) under Triticum aestivum (bread wheat). RNAcentral's name for it is "partial small subunit ribosomal RNA". The record is from RNAcentral. Lineage: Eukaryota; Viridiplantae; Streptophyta; Magnoliopsida; Poales; Poaceae.